Molecule: long non-coding RNA, 223 nt
Filed under: Elaeis guineensis (African oil palm)
Lineage: Eukaryota; Viridiplantae; Streptophyta; Magnoliopsida; Arecales; Arecaceae
Description: long non-coding RNA (EGUI_LNC009815)
Source: RNAcentral
GGGUUCAAUGGAGGGAUAGGUUAGAUCAUGGUCAAGUCCUUGAAGGAGACAGACAAGAUGGAUUAAGAUAAAUCAGAUGGAUCAUUAGACUUGAUGUGGAUCACUUAGACCAUUAUGGAUAUGCAGGAAGAUCACUAAACUCAAUGUGGAUCAUUUUCACUACUAAUGAGAAAUAGAUAUGGAUCGCAUCGGCCACUAUGAGUAAAGCUAAAUAGAAUCUAAG